UGGCGGCGUGCUUAACACAUGCAAGUCGAACGGAAAGGCCCUGCUUUUGUGGGGUGCUCGAGUGGCGAACGGGUGAGUAACACGUGAGUAACCUGCCCUUGACUUUGGGAUAACUUCAGGAAACUGGGGCUAAUACCGGAUAGGAGCUCCUGCUGCAUGGUGGGGGUUGGAAAGUUUCGGCGGUUGGGGAUGGACUCGCGGCUUAUCAGCUUGUUGGUGGGGUAGUGGCUUACCAAGGCUUUGACGGGUAGCCGGCCUGAGAGGGUGACCGGCCACAUUGGGACUGAGAUACGGCCCAGACUCCUACGGGAGGCAGCAGUGGGGAAUAUUGCACAAUGGGCGGAGGCCUGAUGCAGCAACGCCGCGUGCGGGAUGACGGCCUUCGGGUUGUAAACCGCUUUCGCCUGUGACGAAGCGUGAGUGACGGUAAUGGGUAAAGAAGCACCGGCUAACUACGUGCCAGCAGCCGCGGUGAUACGUAGGGUGCGAGCGUUGUCCGGAUUUAUUGGGCGUAAAGGGCUCGUAGGUGGUUGAUCGCGUCGGAAGUGUAAUCUUGGGGCUUAACCCUGAGCGUGCUUUCGAUACGGGUUGACUUGAGGAAGGUAGGGGAGAAUGGAAUUCCUGGUGGAGCGGUGGAAUGCGCAGAUAUCAGGAGGAACACCAGUGGCGAAGGCGGUUCUCUGGGCCUUUCGUGACGCUGAGGAGCGAAAGCGUGGGGAGCGAACAGGCUUAGAUACCCUGGUAGUCCACGCUGUAAACGGUGGGUACUAGGUGUGGGGUCCAUUCCACGGGUUCCGUGCCGUAGCUAACGCUUUAAGUACCCCGCCUGGGGAGUACGGCCGCAAGGCUAAAACUCAAAGGAAUUGACGGGGCCCCGCACAAGCGGCGGAGCAUGCGGAUUAAUUCGAUGCAACGCGUAGAACCUUACCUGGGUUUGACAUGGAUCGGGAGUGCUCAGAGAUGGGUGUGCCUCUUUUGGGGUCGGUUCACAGGUGGUGCAUGGCUGUCGUCAGCUCGUGUCGUGAGAUGUUGGGUUAAGUCCCGCAACGAGCGCAACCCUUGUUCACUGUUGCCAGCACGUUAUGGUGGGGACUCAGUGGAGACCGCCGGGGUCAACUCGGAGGAAGGUGGGGAUGACGUCAAGUCAUCAUGCCCCUUAUGUCCAGGGCUUCACGCAUGCUACAAUGGCUGGUACAGAGAGUGGCGAGCCUGUGAGGGUGAGCGAAUCUCGGAAAGCCGGUCUCAGUUCGGAUUGGGGUCUGCAACUCGACCUCAUGAAGUCGGAGUCGCUAGUAAUCGCAGAUCAGCAACGCUGCGGUGAAUACGUUCCCGGGGCUUGUACACACCGCCCGUCAAGUCAUGAAAGUUGGUAACACCCGAAGCCGGUGGCCUAACCGUUGUGGGGGAGCCGUCGAAGGUGGGACUGGUGAUUAGGACUAAGUCAUAACA
Molecule: ribosomal RNA, 1449 nt
Filed under: uncultured organism
Description: 16S ribosomal RNA
Rfam family: Bacterial small subunit ribosomal RNA
Source: RNAcentral